This 253-nucleotide ribosomal RNA is filed under the name uncultured bacterium. RNAcentral's name for it is "partial 16S ribosomal RNA". It matches the Rfam family "Archaeal small subunit ribosomal RNA", at positions 474 to 727 of the family's 1478-position model. The record is from RNAcentral.
UACCAGCACCCCGAGUGGUCGGGACGAUUAUUGGGCCUAAAGCAUCCGUAGCCGGUCAUGCAAGUCUUCCGUUAAAUCCAGCCGCUCAACGGUUGGGCUGCGGAGGAUACUACGUGGCUCGGAGGCGGGAGAGGCAAGCGGUACUCAGUGGGUAGGGGUAAAAUCCUUUGAUCCAUUGAAGACCACCAGUGGCGAAGGCGGCUUGCCAGAACGCGCUCGACGGUGAGGGAUGAAAGCUGGGGGAGCAAACCGG